UGGGGAAUAUUGCACAAUGGGCGCAAGCCUGAUGCAGCCAUGCCGCGUGUGUGAAGAAGGCCUUCGGGUUGUAAAGCACUUUCAGCGAGGAGGAAGGUGGUGAGCUUAAUACGCUCAUCAAUUGACGUUACUCGCAGAAGAAGCACCGGCUAACUCCGUGCCAGCAGCCGCGGUAAUACGGAGGGUGCAAGCGUUAAUCGGAAUUACUGGGCGUAAAGCGCACGCAGGCGGUUUGUUAAGUCAGAUGUGAAAUCCCCGGGCUCAACCUGGGAACUGCAUUUGAAACUGGCAAGCUAGAGUCUCGUAGAGGGGGGUAGAAUUCCAGGUGUAGCGGUGAAAUGCGUAGAGAUCUGGAGGAAUACCGGUGGCGAAGGCGGCCCCCCUGGACGAAGACUGACGCUCAGGUGCGAAAGCGUGGGGCAGCAAACAGGAUUAGAUACCCUGGUAGUCCACGCUGUAAACGAUGUCGAUUUGGAGGUUGUGCCCCUUGAGGCGUGGCUUCCGGAGCUAACGCGUUAAAUCGACCGCCUGGGGAGUACGGCCGCAAGGUUAAAACUUAAAUGAAUUGAC
This 570-nucleotide ribosomal RNA is filed under the name uncultured bacterium. Its description in RNAcentral is "partial 16S ribosomal RNA". It matches the Rfam family "Bacterial small subunit ribosomal RNA", at positions 355 to 914 of the family's 1533-position model. The record is from RNAcentral.